Molecule: long non-coding RNA, 331 nt
Filed under: Capsicum annuum
Lineage: Eukaryota; Viridiplantae; Streptophyta; Magnoliopsida; Solanales; Solanaceae
Description: long non-coding RNA (CANN_LNC013261)
Source: RNAcentral
ACGAUUUGGACAAGAACCAGGUUUCAGGCCACCAUCUCCAUCUGCAAAUCCAAAGGCUUGUACUUGAGAGUAUGUUUUAUCAUUUUUCUCCAACAGAAUUUUAAUAGACCUAAAAGUUUGUUUUUAGAGAUGAGCUAAAAAUGCUCACAUUGGUUUUCUACCAAGUAUCUCCACUCAUAAGCAAUGCCUUCUGAAGAUUCUUUGGCAGACUUGGAUGUGAAGACAACCAAUCGCUGAUUGUGCUGAACCAUAUCAACUACAGUUGGCCAUUCUCCACCAUUUUUAGGCAUCCGAGAAACUGGAAACCAGAAUUUUCUAAGCCCAGCCGCAU